RNAcentral lists this ribosomal RNA (303 nucleotides) under uncultured bacterium. RNAcentral's name for it is "partial 16S ribosomal RNA". It matches the Rfam family "Bacterial small subunit ribosomal RNA", at positions 507 to 809 of the family's 1533-position model. The record is from RNAcentral.
AGCAGUAGCCACGGGAAUACGUAGGUGGCAAGCGUUGUCCGGAAUUAUUGGGCGUAAAGCGCGCGCAGGCGGAUCAGUCAGUCUGUCUUAAAAGUUCGGGGCUUAACCCCGUGAUGGGAUGGAAACUGCUGAUCUAGAGUAUCGGAGAGGAAAGUGGAAUUCCUAGUGUAGCGGUGAAAUGCGUAGAUAUUAGGAAGAACACCAGUGGCGAAGGCGACUUUCUGGACGAAAACUGACGCUGAGGCGCGAAAGCCAGGGGAGCGAACGGGAUUAGAUACCCCAGUAGUCCCUGUCUCUUAUACA